This is a long non-coding RNA of Symphalangus syndactylus (siamang), 320 nucleotides long. RefSeq lists it as uncharacterized. The record is from RefSeq and is a predicted model, not a curated record. NCBI's taxonomy places the organism in Eukaryota, Metazoa, Chordata, Mammalia, Primates, Hylobatidae.
GAAGAAGUAGAGUGCUGGCUGUGUACAGGACCGCCUUUCUUGAGCUCUGGAAGGAGAUUGAUGUGGCCUCUUGUUACUGAGCAAACAGAGCUUUGCUCUUGUUGCCCAGGCUGGAGUGCAAUGGCAUGAUCUCAGGUCACCACAACGUCUGCCUCCAGGGUUCAGGUUCAAGCGAUUCUCCUGCCUCAGCCUCCUGAGUAGCUGGGUUUACAGCGUCUCGCUCAGUCACCCAAGCUGGAGCGUCUAUCGCCCAGACUAAAGUGCAGUGGCACAAUCACGGCUCACUGCAGCCUCCGCCUCCAGGGCUUGCUUAAUGGAUC